AAAAAUACUCUGGAAAAAGUCAAAUUUUUAUAGGGAAUCUUCUGUGAAUACAUCGAUGUAGAUUGAUGGAGGAUUGACAUUGCAGCAAAAUUUGCCUGCUGGAAGGAUUGUAAACUGCCUGAGAGGAGGAACUGUUUCUUGCCGCACUGUAAGAAGAGAACCUGGCAUGUUCCAGCCAUGCAAUAAGAAAGCAAUUAAUAGUGG
Long non-coding RNA from Choloepus didactylus (southern two-toed sloth), 204 nucleotides. RefSeq lists it as uncharacterized. Lineage: Eukaryota; Metazoa; Chordata; Mammalia; Pilosa; Megalonychidae. The transcript is spliced from 3 exons. The record is from RefSeq and is a predicted model, not a curated record.